GAUGAAGAACGCAGCGAAAUGAGAUAAGUAAUGUGAAUUGCAGAAUUCAGUGAAUCAUCGAAUCUUUGAACGCACAUUGCGCCCGCCAGUAUUCUGGCGGGCAUGCCUGUUCGAGCGUCAUUACAACCCUCAGGCCCCCGGGCCUGGCGUUGGGGAUCGGCGGAGCCCCCCGUGGGCACACGCCGUCCCCCAAAUACAGUGGCGGUCCCGCCGCAGCUUCCAUCGCGUAGUAGCUAACACCUCGCGACUGGAGAGCGGCGCGGCCACGCCGUAAAACACCCAACUCUUCUGAAGUUGACCUCGAAUCAGGUAGGAAUACCCGCUGAACUUAAGCAUAUCAAUAAGCGGAGGA
This 352-nucleotide unclassified non-coding RNA is filed under the name soil metagenome. RNAcentral's name for it is "partial contains 5.8S ribosomal RNA, internal transcribed spacer 2, and large subunit ribosomal RNA". The stretch from base 1 to 120 matches the Rfam family "5.8S ribosomal RNA", at positions 35 to 154 of the family's 154-position model. The record is from RNAcentral.